Molecule: ribosomal RNA, 489 nt
Filed under: uncultured bacterium
Lineage: Bacteria
Description: bacterial SSU rRNA
Rfam family: Bacterial small subunit ribosomal RNA
Source: RNAcentral
GAUGAACGCUAGCGGCAGGCUUAAUACAUGCAAGUCGAGGGGCAGCAUGACUGUAGCAAUACAGUUGAUGGCGACCGGCAAACGGGUGCGGAACACGUACAGAACCUUCCUUCGAGCGGGGAAUAGCCCAGAGAAAUUUGGAUUAAUACCCCAUAGUACAUUAGAGUGGCAUCACUUUGAUGUUAAAGAUUUAUCACUUGAAGAUGGCUGUGCGGCUGAUUAGGUAGUUGGCGGGGUAACGGCCCACCAAGCCUGCGAUCAGUAACUGGUGUGAGAGCACGACCAGUCACACGGGCACUGAGACACGGGCCCGACUCCUACGGGAGGCAGCAGUAAGGAAUAUUGGUCAAUGGACGAAAGUCUGAACCAGCCAUGCCGCGUGGAGGAUGAAGGUCCUCUGGAUUGUAAACUUCUUUUAUAUGGGACGAAAAAGGGUUUUCUAACUCGUCUGACGGUACCAUAUGAAUAAGCACCGGCUAACUCCGUGCC